RNAcentral lists this ribosomal RNA (633 nucleotides) under Nebria navajo. Its description in RNAcentral is "partial large subunit ribosomal RNA". The stretch from base 389 to 548 matches the Rfam family "Bacterial large subunit ribosomal RNA", at positions 2473 to 2632 of the family's 2925-position model. The record is from RNAcentral. Lineage: Eukaryota; Metazoa; Arthropoda; Insecta; Coleoptera; Carabidae.
GUCCUUUAGAUGUUAAUUUAAGGUCUAACCUGCCCACUGAAUUAUUUUAAAUGGCCGCAGUAAUUUGACUGUGCAAAGGUAGCAUAAUCAUUAGUUUUUUAAUUGAAAGCUUGUAUGAAAGGUUGGACGAAGUAAAAUCUGUCUCUAAUUAAAUUAAUUUAGAAUUUAACUUUUAAGUUAAAAGGCUUAAAUUUAACUAAAAGACGAGAAGACCCUAUAGCUCUUUAUAUUUAAAUUAAUAAAUUUAAUUAAGAAUUUUUAAAAUUUUAUUAAUUUAAUUAUUUUAUUGGGGUAAUAUAAAGAUUAAAAUAAUUCUUUUUUUUUAUUAACAUUAAUUUAUGAUUUUGAUGAUCCAAUUAUAUUGAUUUUAAGAUUAAGUUACCUUAGGGAUAACAGCGUAAUUUUUUUAGAGAGUUCUUAUCGAUAAAAAAGUUUGCGACCUCGAUGUUGGAUUAAAGAUUAUUUUAGGUGUAGAAGCUUAAAAAUUUUGGUCUGUUCGACCAUUAAAUCUUUACAUGAUCUGAGUUCAGACCGGUGUAAGCCAGGUCGGUUUCUAUCUUUAGUAAAUUAAAAUAUUUUAGUACGAAAGGACCAAUUAUUUAAUAUAAAUAUUUAAAUUUUGAUUAUUAUUAA